This 584-nucleotide ribosomal RNA is filed under the name Candida tropicalis. RNAcentral's name for it is "eukaryotic LSU rRNA". It matches the Rfam family "Eukaryotic large subunit ribosomal RNA", at positions 39 to 639 of the family's 3401-position model. Lineage: Eukaryota; Fungi; Ascomycota; Pichiomycetes; Serinales; Debaryomycetaceae. The record is from RNAcentral.
UNUNUCCAAUAGCGGAGGAAAAGAAACCAACAGGGAUUGCCUUAGUAGCGGCGAGUGAAGCGGCAAAAGCUCAAAUUUGAAAUCUGGCUCUUUCAGAGUCCGAGUUGUAAUUUGAAGAAGGUAUCUUUGGGUCUGGCUCUUGUCUAUGUUUCUUGGAACAGAACGUCACAGAGGGUGAGAAUCCCGUGCGAUGAGAUGAUCCAGGCCUAUGUAAAGUUCCUUCGAAGAGUCGAGUUGUUUGGGAAUGCAGCUCUAAGUGGGUGGUAAAUUCCAUCUAAAGCUAAAUAUUGGCGAGAGACCGAUAGCGAACAAGUACAGUGAUGGAAAGAUGAAAAGAACUUUGAAAAGAGAGUGAAAAAGUACGUGAAAUUGUUGAAAGGGAAGGGCUUGAGAUCAGACUUGGUAUUUUGUAUGUUACUUCUUCGGGGGUGGCCUCUACAGUUUAUCGGGCCAGCAUCAGUUUGGGCGGUAGGAGAAUUGCGUUGGAAUGUGGCACGGCUUCGGUUGUGUGUUAUAGCCUUCGUCGAUACUGCCAGCCUAGACUGAGGACUGCGGUUUAUACCUAGGAUGUUGGCAUAAUGAUA